RNAcentral lists this unclassified non-coding RNA (1452 nucleotides) under Hevea brasiliensis (rubber tree). The record is from RNAcentral. Lineage: Eukaryota; Viridiplantae; Streptophyta; Magnoliopsida; Malpighiales; Euphorbiaceae.
GGGUGGUGGUGUUGGCGUUGGAUAGUGAGGCGUGGUGUUCGGUAACGUUAGCGUGCUUAGUUUCUUCUGUGAUCUUCUUUAACUAUUUGUUAAGAUCUGCUAGCUGUAGGUGGUCAUAUCGGUUUCGUUUCAUUCAUUGUUCAGUUGAUUUCUUAUAUGAUUUGGUUCAUAUGUGCAAGACCCGUGUUUGGGAAUCGUUAGAUCGGAGAAGAGCAUAGAAGAGAAUUGUUGGUUUGAUCGGUAUUGCUAGUAUCUGAGAAAUAUUUCUUCUUUUUUAUUGUCUCCUUUUCGUUUCCGAUUUAUUUUCUGAAGAUCUAAUUACCUGGGGCUUAUUUUUAGCUGGUUUCGAUUUCUUAGAUUGUUAAGAUGAGCUGUUUAUGGUUGUUCUGUUGUGUUUGGCUUUGGAUUAAGCAGCAUACACGCUUGAAGGCCGAGGUGUAUCCGUAGUUAUCUUGGUUAUGAGCUUGAUUGAGGGAAGUUGUGUUUUGACGUUCAAUUUAUGUACGACAUGUACUUCACAGGAAGCUUGAUGAUUUUUUCGUUGAUUUCAGCUCUCUUAUGAAGCAGAGUUUGAUUCAUGAUAUAUUUUUUACGGUGUACCAUGGUGGAGGUGGUGGAUUAAUAAUCAAGUUGACCGAGUCUUUUUGGAUUAUUGCAAGUCUUUCCUUUCCCUUCAGUUUUGGUGGCUUCUUAAAUUGCUUCUUUAUGUUUCACUUCCAGAAGCUCUUUUCAGUAACUUGUUAUUUUAUCCGUAUUGACAUGCAAACCAGUGGUGCUUUGAAUAUUGAUUUAGAUCUUUAAUCUCUGUUUAAUUGGUCGUUGUCAUGGUUUUGAUCUUUAGGAAGUUAACUGAAACGGUAGAUUUGGUUGCUCCAUGGUGUUUCUUUCGUCCUCUUAAGGCUUGAACUAUGACUGAGAAAAGGAUUUUUCUUGUAUCAUCUCGUCAAUAAUUUUUUGCUUGAAUUUCCAUACAGCAGCCACCAAUUAUUCUGAAUGUUGUAUUGUUGGUGUGAUUUUCCAGGAUCAUGGAGUGAUCUUGAGGUUGAAACCUACAUAUUGGUGAAACCUGUUGGCAGAGUAGUCAGGAGCCUUUUUAUCCCUCUUUAUUUUGUGUUUGUCUGGAAACUGUUUUUACAUAUCACUAGUUAUUAGGCGCAGAGAACUAGUUUCUGAGUUUGUUCUUUUGCCUUUUUCAGCUUUUUUUAUUUGAGGAAUCCGAUGAAUAGGGAUUUUCAGGGAGUUCUUUUUACCCUUUCUGAUAUUGAUUGCCUCCUCAUUAUAUGAAUAGAAUCCUUGAGUGAUUUUGUUAUCUGAGAAUUUGGUGCUUCUUGUUCCAGGGUGUCUUGAUUCCAUUAUUCUGAGAAAUCAAACAUGGAGGGAUCAGUGUAUGAUAUAUUGAUCGGGAAGUUUCUUUUUCCUAGAUUCCUUCAAUUUUUUAGUGUACCCCUUCCC